Long non-coding RNA from Eucalyptus grandis, 1882 nucleotides. RefSeq lists it as uncharacterized. The record is from RefSeq and is a predicted model, not a curated record. Lineage: Eukaryota; Viridiplantae; Streptophyta; Magnoliopsida; Myrtales; Myrtaceae. The transcript is spliced from 8 exons.
GGUGAUCUGAGCAGAGGCAAAAGGUGCCUUUGACUUUUGGGUCGGCGUUGUCGUCGCUGGUUCUCAAUUGGGUCGGGUCAUCCGUUGUCUUUCCACUCCAUGGCAAUGUUUUCCCAACUGGGUCAUAUAACACAACUGUCUUCAUUGGGCAGCCACCAAAGCCUUACUUUCUUGAUCCUGACACUGGUAGUGACCUCACAUCGCUCCAAUGUGAUGCCCCUUGUGUACGAUGCACCCAGACGCCACAUCCGCUUUAUCGACCCAACAAGGACCUAGGGACCCAAUUUGCGUGUCCCUGCAUUCAGGCGACUACAUAUGUGACCACCCAGAGCAAUGUCACUACGAGGUGGAGUAUGCAGAUGGCGGCUCUUCUCUUGGUGUACUUUUAAAGGAUGUCGUUCAUCCCAAGGAUAUAAACUCCUUUCUCUUUUGCAAGUCCAGAAGGCUCUAAAAUUCCACCAAUGGAAGAGUCUCAAAAUGCUUUAACUGUUGGUCCAUCAUUACGACUUCAAGGAUCGUUAGUACCCUUCUUCUCUUUCAAACAACCAUCCCCUGGUCAAGAGAAUCAAGUUACCUCCAUACCUUCACUGAGAUAUCUCACACAUUUUAUGCUUUUUAAAUUGCUUAUCAAAAAAGAAAACAUUCAGAUUUUUGGCCACUGUAUGUGGUAUUACUGAUUUCCAGGUUUUUUUUUUAAUGUGUUGCAGCUCUUUUAAUUUUGUAGUUUUCUUUGCGGAUUUUAUUUAAAUUUGUUUGUAAAGAUUUUUCAGUAGAACAUUCGACAUAAUGUUGCUCAUGUUCAUUCAUCUUCCUCAGAAACGAUGUUGGUCUACAUGGAAAAGGCACUGCUAUUGUCUCUGCUUCUGGAUCAUCAGACAUGAAUUUGUCUACCUCAGCCAUUAUGGAAAGAAUUCCAAGCAGGUGGCCACGUCCUGUGUGGCAUCCUCCAUGGAAGAACUACAGGGUCAUAAGUGGGCAUUUGGGAUGAGUGAGAUCUAUCGCAUUUGAUCCUAGCAAUUAAUGAUUCUGCACUGGCUCUGCAGAUCGGACAAUUAAGGUCAAAGUUCUCAACAAACUUGCUUCAGCUCGAGCUUCAGGAGCAGGUAGCGGCAGCAGAGUCUUGAUAGAUUUGGUAGAGGGUCUAGAAGAAGCAGCUGUUGCUGUAGAAUUGAGGUUGAAGAUCAACCAGAGUCAUCCGGACUUAAAGGGAGGGUACGUGGUUUCUUGGUUUCUAGCAAUGUCGUUUUCUUUUUCCUUCUCUAAGAUCCUGAUAGUGUAGAGGUUACAGAUCUUCCCGAGACUAUGGAGAGGCAGUGUUGAAGCACUUGGAGAACUCUAUUGAUUUAGACCCAAAGCUUCAGAAAGCUCCAGUAAAUUAUGAAGGAGUCCCGGUAUCUGGGUUUGGAGGAUGGUUCCUUCUGAGGCUCUCGCUUUAUGAUCCUGUUCUUACUCUUAACAUUGAGGCACCAACUCACGAUGACACUGUAAAACUUGGACUUGCCGUGCUUGGGGCUGUUAAGGAGUUUGCAGCUUUGGAUACUUCCGCUUUAGACAAGUUUGUUCAAGUAUCAUGAGCCGAUGAUGCAGAGCGCUUUGGUACAAGUAUCUUUCGGCACAUUAUACUAGCAGUUAAAGUCGGCUUUGGCGUCUACCUCUGUACAGUACGUAUAAUCAGUGCGUCAAUCUCUGAUUCUGAGGAGGUUCAUUUUUCAGAUGGUUUUGGUCACAGGCACUCGAAAUACUAGUUGAUGGCUAUGUUUACUUUAGUUUUUACUUAUGUUCCAUGUAUGCUAUAGAGAUGUUCUGAUAAAUAAGAAACGUUCUUCGACUACAGAAUUUGUCGGAGGGAUGUUUGAAGUUGUGAUGCAACUAGUUUUUCUCG